ACAGCCAUCUCACAUUGGAACACAGGUUCUUGUAUGAUCACUGAAGUUAAGCAAUAUCAGUCCUGGUCAGUACCUAGAUGGGUGACUGCUUGGCAAUCGCAGGUGCUGUAAG
Non-coding RNA from Acanthosepion pharaonis, 112 nucleotides. NCBI's taxonomy places the organism in Eukaryota, Metazoa, Mollusca, Cephalopoda, Sepiida, Sepiidae. The record is from the annotation of a GenBank genome assembly.